AAAAUCCGGGAGAGAUUAUGAUUAAAACAUAACGCCGAAGGGGCAGACGCAAUAAACUCUCAGGCAAAAGGACCGGAU
Molecule: non-coding RNA, 78 nt
Filed under: uncultured Anaerostipes sp.
Lineage: Bacteria; Bacillati; Bacillota; Clostridia; Lachnospirales; Lachnospiraceae
Description: Glycine riboswitch
Rfam family: Glycine riboswitch aptamer
About the family: This family represents the bacterial glycine riboswitch. Glycine riboswitches usually consist of two metabolite-binding aptamers domains with similar structures in tandem. The aptamers cooperatively bind glycine to regulate the expression of downstream genes.
Source: RNAcentral